This 423-nucleotide ribosomal RNA is filed under the name uncultured bacterium. RNAcentral describes it as "partial 16S ribosomal RNA". It matches the Rfam family "Bacterial small subunit ribosomal RNA", at positions 359 to 774 of the family's 1533-position model. The record is from RNAcentral.
GAAUAUUGUACAAUGGGCGAAAGCCUGAUCCAGCCAUGCCGCGUGUGUGAAGAAGGUCUUCGGAUUGUAAAGCAAUCUCUGUUGGGAGGAAGGGCAGUCAGCGACUACCUUGCUGUCUUGACGUUACCGACAGAAUAAGCACCGGCUAACUCUGUGCCAGCAGCCGCGGUAAUACAGAGGGUGCAAGCGUUAAUCGGAAUUACUUGGCGUAAAGCGCGCGUAGGUGGUUCGUUAAGUUGGAUGUGAAAUCCCCGGGCUCAACCUGGGAACUGCAUCCAAAACUGGCGAGCUAGAGUAGGGCAGAGGGUGGUGGAAUGUCCUGUGUAGCGGUGAAAUGCGUAGAUAUAGGAAGGAACACCAGUGGCGAAGGCGACCACCUGGGCUCAUACUGACACUGAGGUGCGAAAGCGUGGGGAGCAAACA